RNAcentral lists this ribosomal RNA (253 nucleotides) under uncultured bacterium. RNAcentral describes it as "partial 16S ribosomal RNA". It matches the Rfam family "Bacterial small subunit ribosomal RNA", at positions 524 to 776 of the family's 1533-position model. The record is from RNAcentral.
UACGUAGGUGGCAAGCGUUAUCCGGAUUUAUUGGGUGUAAAGGGCGUGUAGGCGGGAAUGCAAGUCAGAUGUGAAAACUAUGGGCUCAACCCAUAGCCUGCAUUUGAAACUGUAUUUCUUGAGUGCUGGAGAGGCAAUCGGAAUUCCGUGUGUAGCGGUGAAGUGCGUAGAUAUACGGAGGAACACCAGUGGCGAAGGCGGAUUGCUGGACAGUAACUGACGCUGAGGCGCGAAAGCGUGGGGAGCAAACAGG